AUCUUGCCGAUGAUGUUUUUAUACACAAAUGUCUGAACAUAUGAAUUCAUUGUGAUUCAGCUUUUUAUCUGAGGCAAGAA
Molecule: small nucleolar RNA, 80 nt
Filed under: Neogobius melanostomus (round goby)
Lineage: Eukaryota; Metazoa; Chordata; Actinopteri; Gobiiformes; Gobiidae
Description: Small nucleolar RNA SNORD72 (ENSNMLG00000020821.1)
Rfam family: Small nucleolar RNA SNORD72
About the family: snoRNA HBII-240 belongs to the CD family of snoRNAs. It is the human orthologue of the mouse MBII-240 and is predicted to guide 2'O-ribose methylation of the large 28S rRNA at residue U4590.
Source: Rfam by way of RNAcentral